UACGUAGGGGGCAAGCGUUGUCCGGAUUUAUUGGGCGUAAAGAGCGUGUAGGCGGCCAGACAGGUCAGCUGUGAAAACUCGAGGCUCAACCUCGAGACGUCGGUUGAAACCGUCUGGCUAGAGUCCGGAAGAGGAGAGUGGAAUUCCCGGUGUAGCGGUGAAAUGCGCAGAUAUCAUUUGGAACGCCAAUGGUGAAAACAGGUAGCUGGGGCUGUACUGACACUGAGACACGAAAGCCAGGGGAGCAAACGGG
RNAcentral lists this ribosomal RNA (253 nucleotides) under uncultured bacterium. RNAcentral describes it as "partial 16S ribosomal RNA". It matches the Rfam family "Bacterial small subunit ribosomal RNA", at positions 524 to 776 of the family's 1533-position model. The record is from RNAcentral.